Acanthosepion pharaonis is the source of this 100-nucleotide non-coding RNA. The record is from the annotation of a GenBank genome assembly. NCBI's taxonomy places the organism in Eukaryota, Metazoa, Mollusca, Cephalopoda, Sepiida, Sepiidae.
ACCAGUCUUAAUAGACCGCUUCUUGUACAAUCACCGAAGUUAAGCAACGUCGUGCCUGGUCAGUACCUAGAUUGGUGACCGCUUGGGAAUACCAGGUGCG